GAAUGCAAUGUUAUGACAGUUCCACCGCAUGAUCACAUGUGUGAUGUCAUGUGAUCACAUCUGCAACCAGGUGGAGGGAUCACCCAGGCUACCGUGUUUGAAGCCCCCCAGAAUCGCAUGUAGUGCAUGAUAAGUUCCCCUAAGGAGCCCCGUGAUGAAGCAGCAUGUUAGGCAGACAAAAAUGUUUCCCUGAAUGCCCACCGUGUUCCAGGCAUUGUGUGGAAGGGUUGCUUGGGACAUCUAUUCCAGAUGACUUCGGGAGUGUCACGCCUUACACUCCUUACCUGGGGCAGGUGAAGGCAUCCCUGCCUCACACCUUGCUUUCAAGGGACUCCGUCUGGAAGGAAGACAGAGGCAGCUGUGUGGUGGUGUUAGAAGGUGGGGCCUUUGGGAGGUGAUCAGGCCACGAGGGUGGAACCUUCCCGAAUGGGUUUCGUGUCCUUACAACGAGACCCUAGAGAAAGCCUCGUUCGUCCCACCACGUGAGCACGGAGAGGAGACAGCCGUCUGUGAACCAGGACGUGGGCCUCCACCAGACACUGAACCUGCCAGCACCUUGACCUUGGCCUCCAGCCUCCAGGACUGUGAGGACUAGAUGUCUGUGGUCUAAGCCCCCGUCUCUGGAAUUUUCGUGAGAGCAGCCUGGACAGAUGAAGGCAGCGGGUGAGGCCCUGGCAGGGAGAGAGGAGGGCAGGAAGGGGGAGGUGCGUGGUGUUUCCUAUUCUCCUCUGCAGUCCCGCUCCUGUGAGACAGGCCCACUGGCCAGCACGAGGGGCCCCGCUGCUCCUGUGGCUCCUGCCCGGGAUGGCAGCAGCUUCGUGCUGGGCUAGUCCUGACCCGCCUCACCAUCCCCUGUCUGGUUUCUCAGUUCGUCCUUCACCCAUGUGACCAAGUCCCUGUGGAUGUGGCUCCCCCUUCAGAUCCUCCGAGUGGCGUCUGCUUCUUCUUGGACCCGAUGCCGCCACCAUCUGGUUGGGCCUCAGACAAACCUGGACUCGAAUUCUCCUGUCAACAACACGCUGUGUGAACUUGGGUUAGUUGCUGUUCCUCUCUGGACUUUACUUUUCCCG
Molecule: long non-coding RNA, 1070 nt
Filed under: Felis catus (domestic cat)
Lineage: Eukaryota; Metazoa; Chordata; Mammalia; Carnivora; Felidae
Description: lncRNA (ENSFCAG00000049330.1)
Source: RNAcentral